This 294-nucleotide ribosomal RNA is filed under the name uncultured bacterium. Its description in RNAcentral is "partial 16S ribosomal RNA". It matches the Rfam family "Bacterial small subunit ribosomal RNA", at positions 333 to 625 of the family's 1533-position model. The record is from RNAcentral.
AGUUUCCUACGGGGGGCAGCAGUGAGGAAUAUUGGUCAAUGGGAGAGAUCCUGAACCAACCACGCCACGUGAGGGAAGACGGCCUUAUGGGUUGUAAACCUCUUUUGUCGGAGAACAAAACCCGGGACGUGUCCCGGACUGCGUGUAUCCGAAGAAAAAGCAUCGGCUAACUCCGUGCCAGCAGCCGCGGUAAUACGGAGGAUGCGAGCGUUAUCCGGAUUUAUUGGGUUUAAAGGGUGCGUAGGCGGUCCGUUAAGUCAGCGGUAAAAUUGCGGGGCUCAACCCCGUCGAGCC